UAAGGAAUAUUGGUCAAUGGACGCAAGUCUGAACCAGCCAUGCCGCGUGAAGGAUGAAGGUCCUCUGGAUUGUAAACUUCUUUUAUCUGGGACGAAAACGGGAUUUUUAUCUCAAUUGACGGUACCAGAGGAAUAAGCACCGGCUAACUCCGUGCCAGCAGCCGCGGUAAUACGGAGGGUGCGAGCGUUAUCCGGAUUUACUGGGUUUAAAGGGUGCGUAGGUGGGCUUAUAAGUCAGUGGUGAAAUCUCCGAGCUUAACUUGGAAACUGCCGUUGAUACUAUAGGUCUUGAAUUAUCUGGAGGUCAGCGUAAUAUGUCAUGUAGCGGUGAAAUGCUUAGAUAUGACAUAGAACACCAAUUGCGAAGGCAGCUUACUACAUAUAAAUUGACGCUGAGGCACGAAAGCGUGGGGAUCAAACA
RNAcentral lists this ribosomal RNA (421 nucleotides) under uncultured bacterium. RNAcentral describes it as "bacterial SSU rRNA". It matches the Rfam family "Bacterial small subunit ribosomal RNA", at positions 355 to 774 of the family's 1533-position model. The record is from RNAcentral.